Chinchilla lanigera (long-tailed chinchilla) is the source of this 2791-nucleotide long non-coding RNA. NCBI's taxonomy places the organism in Eukaryota, Metazoa, Chordata, Mammalia, Rodentia, Chinchillidae. The record is from Ensembl.
UCCAUGGAGGAAGUAAUGUUGAGCCCUCAAGGCCUGACAUCCCCCAUCAGGUAAUCCAGUCUGUGUAGUAGCAGCAGCAUUGGGAGCAGCAGCAGCAUCGGGAGCAGCAGCAGCAUCGGGAGCAGCAGCAGCAUCACGAGCAGCAGCAGCAUCACGAGCAGCAGCAGCGGCAGCAGCGGCAGCAGCAGCAGCAGCGGCAGCAGCAGCAGCAGCAGCAGCAUCACGAGCAGCAGUCCCAGAAUCGGGCGGAGCAGCAGUGGGCCUAUUUACUUCUGUGAGGGCUUGAGUGCGGGCCCAGGGUUCACUUUGCAGCACAUCACAGGAAGUGUGCGUUUCCGCGUCUCACCUCCGAGCGCCUUUUGCUUACCGGGAGGAAGCGCCGACUGCAAACGAGCUGCGCCCAGGCCGCUCAGAGCCGCCUCGCGCCGGUGCCGUCCCCGAGCUGCCGGGAGCUGCUGCGCGCGGAGACGGCGGCGGGCGCUCCGGCCGCAGAGCGGAGGAUGGGCUGCACCUGGGAGAAGAGGCUCCUCUAUCCUGGGCGGCCUCAUCCUAGUAACAGCGCUCACAGCUGACUCCAGGUGGACGCCUUGCUCCCCCUCUGCUGUCCCCCGUGCGCACCUAGUAGGCACCUACGUCUGCCCGGAAAGAACUAUUUCUAACCCUCACGUCUGCUUCUUUCCCAAGGCCUGUUCUUCUUAUCCCAGGAUCAACGUUCAUGGCUCAAGCCCCAAACCCCCAGAGUUGCUCCCCGUCUUUCCUCCCCUCCCCUCACAGUCACACAGUUUCUUUCUUUCUUUCUUUCUUUCUUUCUUUCUUUCUUUCUUUCUUUCUUUCUUUCUUUCUUUCUUUCUUUCUUUCUUUUCUUUCUUUUUCUUUUUUUUUUUUCUUUUCUUUUUUCUUUUCCAUUACCAGGGAUUGAACUCACAACCUCGCGCUUGCCAGGCAGGCGCUGUGCCGGUGAGCUAAGUCCCCAACCCCAGUCACACAGUUUCUGUGCAGAAUCUGUUAACUCUUCCUGCAAGGUGCCUCCCUUGCCCCCCCCCCCCUACCUACACGCGCAUCUCUUACCUGGCGGCCUGAUGCCGCUUCUCUGAAUGUCAGACCUCCCCUCCCGGUCCCCAGCAGUCCAGCCAGGAUUAAAGGUUUUUAUUCGUGCAUGUUUAGUGGAUAAUGAUUACAUUUAUGUUCUGCAAGGACAGAACGCCUCUUCAUUCUUUCUCCCUCCUUCGCUCCUCCUUCCGCUCCCUCCACCCCUUGGUCCCAUUUGCAAAGGAUCUAUCUCCCUGUUUUCUAUUAUCUAUGUUUUAUUUUCCUCUUUAAAUUAUUUAUAUCUUGGUUCUCUCAUAUGAGAGAAACCAUAUGAUACAUAAACUUUGUGUCUGAUUUAUUUCACUUAAGACUGUAAGAUGAUCUUUCAAAAACGUGUUUUUGUUUUUGAUUAAUAUGCAACUCUACAUAUUUAUGGGCACAGUGUAACAUUUCAGUGUGUGUAUGCACUGUGAAAAGAUCAGAUCAGGGUCAUUGGCAUAUUUAUCACUUCAGACAUUUAUCUUUUCUUGGUAUUGGGAACAUUUAGAAUCCUCUCUGCCAGUUCUUUUGAAAUAAUUAGCUGUUGUCAGGCCGGGCCUGGUGGCACAUGCCUGUAAUCCCAGGAGGGUACUUUGGAGGCUGAGGCAGAGGAUGAGUUCGAGGCCAGCCUGGGAUACACAGUGAGUUCAAGGCCAGCUGGAACUAUGUAGUGAGACCCUGUCUCAAAAAAACCCAUUAAUUGUUGUCAAUCAUAUUUUCCCUACUCUGCUAUAGAACAUUGGAAGGUGUUCAACCGCCCCAUUGCGCACUUGUACCCAUUAUAACCCCCUUUCCUCCACCCUCGCAUGCCCCACACCUUCCCCAGGCUUGGAAACUGCUCCUCUUUCUCUGCUUUUUCUGAGAUCAAGCUUUUAACUUCUGCGUGUGAGAAUAAUUGGUAUUUGUCUUUCUGUGCCUGAUUUGCUUCAUUUGACACAGUGUCCUCCAGUAUCAUCCAUGUUGCUAUAACUGACAGAAUUUCACUCUUUUUUUUUUUUUAAUGGCCAAAUAGAAUUUCCUAUUAUCUGUCUCUCUCCUUACCACUUUUUACUUAUCCAUUCUCAGGGUGAUCUUUAAAAGAGAAUUCAGAUCACAUCUCUGGUUAAGACCCUCUAGUAGAUUUUGUUUCACUUGGAAGGAAAUGCACAAAAUGUACCGUGGACACGUGCGAUUGUAAAGUCCUCUAUUAUCUACGCUGUGUCUGUCCAAUCUCAUCUCAUUCCCCUCUCCUCCUGACCCUCUAGGUUCUAGACAUCUUAAUCUUCUUGGUCUUUUUCUUCCUCAUGUUUUCCUCCUUCCCCCAUUCCUUCUCCUUUUUCUCCUCUUUCUCCCCUUCCUUCUCUUCUCCUUCUUCAACUGUGAUGCUGGGGUGGAACUCAGGACCUAGUGCACACUAGGGCAAUGCUCUACCACUGAGCUGCAUCUCCAGCCCGUUUAUAUUUUAUUUUGAGACACGGGCUUGCUAAGUUUCCUUGGCUGGCCUUGAACUGUGACCUUCCUGCCUGAGCCUUCCAAGCAGUUGGUAUUGCAGAUGCAGUACUGUGCCUUGUUUCUCGUGUGCUUAAGCAGCCUUAGGGAUCUGCACCAAUCAUUUCCCUCUACUUUUUUGCUCUUCCUUCUGGCCUUCUCAAGGAGAGCUCUUUGUGCCAUUCAUGUCUUAGCAUUUCAGCUGGCAUGUCAGUCACCUGUCAGGGAGAGCUUCUGUGGUCACGCCAGCUCUGAG